GCCUGGCUGGCUCAGUCAGUAGAGCAUGUGACUCUCGAUCUUAGGGUCCUGAGUUCGAGCCUCACGUUGGGCA
Felis catus (domestic cat) is the source of this 73-nucleotide transfer RNA. It matches the Rfam family "tRNA". From Rfam's summary of the family: Transfer RNA (tRNA) molecules are approximately 80 nucleotides in length. Their secondary structure includes four short double-helical elements and three loops (D, anti-codon, and T loops). Lineage: Eukaryota; Metazoa; Chordata; Mammalia; Carnivora; Felidae. The record is from Rfam.